RNAcentral lists this unclassified non-coding RNA (345 nucleotides) under soil metagenome. RNAcentral's name for it is "partial contains 5.8S ribosomal RNA, internal transcribed spacer 2, and large subunit ribosomal RNA". The stretch from base 1 to 120 matches the Rfam family "5.8S ribosomal RNA", at positions 35 to 154 of the family's 154-position model. The record is from RNAcentral.
GAUGAAGAACGUAGCGAAAUGCGAUAAGUAAUGUGAAUUGCAGAAUUCAGUGAAUCAUCGAGUCUUUGAACGCACAUUGCGCCCCCUGGUAUUCCGGGGGGCAUGCCUGUCCGAGCGUCAUUGCUGCCCUCAAGCACGGCUUGUGUGUUGGGCUCCGCCCCCCUCCCGGGGGGCGGGCCCGAAAGGCAGCGGCGGCACCGCGUCCGGUCCUCGAGCGUAUGGGGCUUUGUCACCCGCUCUGUAGGCCCGGCCGGCGCCCGCCGGCGACCCCAAUCGAUCUUUCCAGGUUGACCUCGGAUCAGGUAGGGAUACCCGCUGAACUUAAGCAUAUCAAUAAGCGGAGGA